RNAcentral lists this ribosomal RNA (254 nucleotides) under uncultured bacterium. Its description in RNAcentral is "partial 16S ribosomal RNA". It matches the Rfam family "Bacterial small subunit ribosomal RNA", at positions 524 to 776 of the family's 1533-position model. The record is from RNAcentral.
UACGGAGGGUGCAAGCGUUAUCCGGAUUUACUGGGUUUAAAGGGUGUGUAGGCGGGCUAUUAAGUCAGUGGUGAAAUCUCCGGGCUCAACCCGGAAACUGCCAUUGAUACUAUUAGUCUUGAAUAUUUGUUGAGGUAGGCGGAAUAAGUCAUGUAGCGGUGAAAUGCAUAGAUAUGACUUAGAACACCGAUUGCGAAGGCAGCUUGCUAAACAAUGAUUGACGCUGAGGCACGAAAGCGUGGGGAUCAAACAGG